RNAcentral lists this unclassified non-coding RNA (345 nucleotides) under soil metagenome. RNAcentral describes it as "partial contains 5.8S ribosomal RNA, internal transcribed spacer 2, and large subunit ribosomal RNA". The stretch from base 1 to 120 matches the Rfam family "5.8S ribosomal RNA", at positions 35 to 154 of the family's 154-position model. The record is from RNAcentral.
GAUGAAGAACGCAGCGAAAUGCGAUACGUAAUGUGAAUUGCAGAAUUCAGUGAAUCAUCGAGUCUUUGAACGCACAUUGCGCCCUCUGGUAUUCCGGAGGGCAUGCCUGUCCGAGCGUCAUUGCUGCCCUCAAGCACGGCUUGUGUGUUGGGCCCCGCCCCCCGAUCCCGGGGGGCGGGCCCGAAAGGCAGCGGCGGCACCGCGUCCGGUCCUCGAGCGUAUGGGGCUUUGUCACCCGCUCUGUAGGCCCGGCCGGCGCUUGCCGAUCAACCAAACUUUUUUCCAGGUUGACCUCGGAUCAGGUAGGGAUACCCGCCGAACUUAAGCAUAUCAAUAAGCGGAGGA